This 287-nucleotide unclassified non-coding RNA is filed under the name uncultured fungus. Its description in RNAcentral is "partial contains 5.8S ribosomal RNA, internal transcribed spacer 2, and large subunit ribosomal RNA". The stretch from base 1 to 52 matches the Rfam family "5.8S ribosomal RNA", at positions 103 to 154 of the family's 154-position model. Lineage: Eukaryota; Fungi. The record is from RNAcentral.
AACGCACCUUGCGCUCCUUGGUAUUCCGAGGAGCAUGCCUGUUUGAGUGUCAUUAAAUUCUCAAACCUUUAUUUGGUUUUACUAGAUAAAGGCUUUGGAUGUGGAGGCUGCUGGAUUCUAACGAAGUCAGCUCUUCUUAAAUGCAUUAGUGGUUAUUGAUCCCAUUUCUUGGUGUGAUAAUAUCUACGCCUUGAGAGAACGAUCUAAUGUAACUGCUUUCUAACCGUCUGCAAAGACAAUUUGAACCAUUUGACCUCAAAUCAGGUAGGACUACCCGCUGAACUUAA